RNAcentral lists this ribosomal RNA (253 nucleotides) under uncultured bacterium. Its description in RNAcentral is "partial 16S ribosomal RNA". It matches the Rfam family "Bacterial small subunit ribosomal RNA", at positions 524 to 776 of the family's 1533-position model. The record is from RNAcentral.
UACGUAGGGUGCGGGCGUUAAUCGGAAUUACUGGGCGUAAAGCGUGCGCAGGCGGCUCUUUAAGUCAGGUGUGAAAUCCCCGGGCUCAACCUGGGAAUGGCGCUUGAAACUGGAGGGCUUGAGUGCGGCAGAGGGGGGUGGAAUUCCACGUGUAGCAGUGAAAUGCGUAGAGAUGUGGAGGAACACCGAUGGCGAAGGCAGCCCCCUGGGCUGACACUGACGCUCAGGCACGAAAGCGUGGGGAGCAAACAGG